CUACGGGAGGCAGCAGUAGGGAAUCUUCCACAAUGGACGCAAGUCUGAUGGAGCAACGCCGCGUGAGUGAAGAAGGGUUUCGGCUCGUAAAGCUCUGUUGGUAGUGAAGAAAGAUAGAGGUAGUAACUGGCCUUUAUUUGACGGUAAUUACCUAGAAAGUCACGGCUAACUACGUGCCAGCAGCCGCGGUAAUACGUAGGUGGCAAGCGUUGUCCGGAUUUAUUGGGCGUAAAGCGAGUGCAGGCGGUUCAAUAAGUCUGAUGUGAAAGCCUUCGGCUCAACCGGAGAAUUGCAUCAGAAACUGUUGAACUUGAGUGCAGAAGAGGAGAGUGGAACUCCAUGUGUAGCGGUGGAAUGCGUAGAUAUAUGGAAGAACACCAGUGGCGAAGGCGGCUCUCUGGUCUGCAACUGACGCUGAGGCUCGAAAGCAUGGGUAGCGAACAGGAUUAGAUACCCUGGUAGUCCAU
RNAcentral lists this ribosomal RNA (467 nucleotides) under uncultured bacterium. Its description in RNAcentral is "bacterial SSU rRNA". It matches the Rfam family "Bacterial small subunit ribosomal RNA", at positions 339 to 798 of the family's 1533-position model. The record is from RNAcentral.